RNAcentral lists this ribosomal RNA (497 nucleotides) under uncultured bacterium. Its description in RNAcentral is "partial 16S ribosomal RNA". It matches the Rfam family "Bacterial small subunit ribosomal RNA", at positions 28 to 507 of the family's 1533-position model. The record is from RNAcentral.
GACGAACGCUGGCGGCGUGCCUAAUACAUGCAAGUUGAGCGCUGAAGGUUGGUACUUGUACCAACUGGAUGAGCAGCGAACGGGUGAGUAACGCGUGGGGAAUCUGCCUUUGAGCGGGGGACAACAUUUGGAAACGAAUGCUAAUACCGCAUAAAAACUUUAAACACAAGUUUUAAGUUUGAAAGAUGCAAUUGCAUCACUCAAAGAUGAUCCCGCGUUGUAUUAGCUAGUUGGUGAGGUAAAGGCUCACCAAGGCGAUGAUACAUAGCCGACCUGGGAGGGUGAUCGGCCAAAGUGGGACUGAGACACGGCCCAAACUCCUACGGGAGGCAGCAGUAGGGAAUCUUCGGCAAUGGACGAAAGUCUGACCGAGCAACGCCGCGGGAGGGAAGAAGGUUUUCGGAUCGGAAAACUCUGUUGGUAGAGAAGAACGUUGGUGAGAGUGGAAAGCUCAUCAAGUGACGGUAACUACACAGAAAGGGACGGCUAACUACGUG